RNAcentral lists this unclassified non-coding RNA (339 nucleotides) under Burkholderia sp. D7. RNAcentral's name for it is "Long range pseudoknot". The record is from RNAcentral. Lineage: Bacteria; Pseudomonadati; Pseudomonadota; Betaproteobacteria; Burkholderiales; Burkholderiaceae.
ACCGACGACGGUGACUACAACGUGAAACUGCGCAACCUCACGCGCUUCCUCGAAGAUGGCGACAAGACGAAAAUCACGUUGCGUUUUCGCGGUCGGGAAAUGGCUCACCAGGAAAUCGGCAUGCGCGUGCUCGAGCGGUUGAAGACCGAUCUCGAAGAGCACGGUCAGGUCGAGCAAAUGCCGAAGAUGGAAGGGCGCCAGAUGAUCAUGGUCAUGGCACCGAAGAAAAAGAAGUAAUCGAAAGAAUCGAUCGAUGGAUCGCGCGGCCGGGAAAGUGUUCAAAGGUCUGCGCGGCAUCGUUUGAGCAGGUUUCAGGGCGCUGCCGGAUAAUGGCGGCGC